UCAUGCCUCUAUUUAUAUUCUUAUUCAUACAUAUUUAUAAUCCUCUAACUAUAUUAUCUCUUUAAACUUGCACAUCAUAUCUAAAACUUUUAGAGCAUUGUGAUAAAGUAAUUUAAUCUUAAUCUUAAAGACAUUCUCUAGAAAAUUUCCUUUUAAGACUUUGUAAAAAAAAUAUUUCCGAAUCAACCUUUUAGCAUCAAGUUAUGAAGCUUAGAUUAAAUGCUGCGAGUUGAACUCAAACGAAUCAAACCAUAAUACCCAAACAAUUAAAUAAUCACAAAUCCAUUAUGCAAAGAAAUUAAAUUUUCCUUACCUGAUUAAGUCGAAUGAGCCUCAACACAACUAAGCUAACCACGGCUGUUGCUAGACACACUGUUUAGCUUUGCACAACCUUCCAUGGGACACCAAAUGGCGUCGUUCGGCCC
RNAcentral lists this long non-coding RNA (425 nucleotides) under Theobroma cacao (cacao). RNAcentral describes it as "long non-coding RNA (TCAC_LNC001343)". The record is from RNAcentral. Lineage: Eukaryota; Viridiplantae; Streptophyta; Magnoliopsida; Malvales; Malvaceae.